GGGCCCGCACAAGCGGUGGAGCAUGUGGUUUAAUUCGAUGAUACGCGAGGAACCUUACCAGGACUUAAAUGCAUAACGAUCGGUUGAGAAAUCAACUUUUCUUCGGACGGUAUGCAAGGUGCUGCAUGGUUGUCGUCAGCUCGUGCCGUGAGGUGUCAGGUUAAGUCCUAUAACGAGCGCAACCCCUAUUCUUAGUUGCCAGCGGUUCGGCCGGGGACUCUAAGAAAACUGCCAGCGCAAGCUGUGAGGAAGGUGGGGAUGACGUCAAAUCAUCACGGCCCUUACGUCCUGGGCCACACACGUGCUACAAUGGUAGGUACAAAGGGCAGCCACUUGGCGACAAGGAGCUAAUCUCUAAAACCUCAUCUCAGUUCGGAUCGAAGUCUGCAACUCGACUUCGUGAAGUUGGAAUCGCUAGUAAUCGC
Molecule: ribosomal RNA, 425 nt
Filed under: uncultured bacterium
Lineage: Bacteria
Description: bacterial SSU rRNA
Rfam family: Bacterial small subunit ribosomal RNA
Source: RNAcentral